AGCCCGGGUGGCGGAAUAGGCAGACGCAGAGGGCUUAAACCCCUCGGCUCUUUAACGGAGCGUGCGGGUUCAAGUCCCGCC
Molecule: transfer RNA, 81 nt
Filed under: Acidimicrobiaceae bacterium
Lineage: Bacteria; Bacillati; Actinomycetota; Acidimicrobiia; Acidimicrobiales; Acidimicrobiaceae
Description: tRNA-Leu
Rfam family: tRNA
About the family: Transfer RNA (tRNA) molecules are approximately 80 nucleotides in length.
Source: RNAcentral